RNAcentral lists this ribosomal RNA (442 nucleotides) under uncultured bacterium. RNAcentral's name for it is "partial 16S ribosomal RNA". It matches the Rfam family "Bacterial small subunit ribosomal RNA", at positions 338 to 795 of the family's 1533-position model. The record is from RNAcentral.
CCUACGGGAGGCAGCAGUAGGGAAUCUUUCACAAUGGGCGAAAGCCUGAUGGAGCAACGCCGCGUGCAGGAUGAAGGCCUUCGGGUUGUAAACUGCUUUUAUAAGCGAGAAAUAUGAUGGUAACUUAUGAAUAAGGAUCGGCUAACUACGUGCCAGCAGCCGCGGUCAUACGUAGGAGCCGAGCAUUAUCCGGAGUGACUGGGUGUAAAGAGUUGCGUAGGUGGCAGAAGAAGUAGCUAGUGAAAUCUGGUGGCUCAACCAUUCAGACUAUUAGCUAAACUGUUAAGCUCGAGAGCGUUAGGGGCAACUGGAAUUUCUAGUGUAGGAGUGAAAUCCGUAGAUAUUAGGAGGAACACCAAUAGCGUAGGCAGGUUACUGGGACGGUUCUGACACUAAGGCACGAAAGCGUAGGGAGCAAACGGGAUUAGAUACCCGAGUAGUC